Molecule: ribosomal RNA, 261 nt
Filed under: uncultured bacterium
Lineage: Bacteria
Description: partial 16S ribosomal RNA
Rfam family: Bacterial small subunit ribosomal RNA
Source: RNAcentral
UACGAACUGUGCAAACGUUUAUUCGGAUUCACUGGGCUUAAAGGGUGCGUUAGGCGGCCAUGUAAGUAGGGUGUGAAAAUCCCCCCGGCUUAACCGGGGAACUGCGCCCUAAACUGUAUGGCUGGAGUGAGAUAGGGGUGUGUGGAACUUCCGGGUGGAGCGGUGAAAUGUGUUGAUAUCGGAAGGAACACCAGUGGCGAAGGCGGCUCACUGGACCGGUACUGGACGCUGAGGCGCGAAAGCGUGGGGGAGCAAACGGGG